Homo sapiens (human) is the source of this 276-nucleotide long non-coding RNA. RefSeq lists it as uncharacterized. The record is from RefSeq and is a predicted model, not a curated record. NCBI's taxonomy places the organism in Eukaryota, Metazoa, Chordata, Mammalia, Primates, Hominidae. The transcript has 3 exons.
GAACUCGAGCCCCGGUCUUUGAAAGCCCCUGGCCUCUGCCUGGCACCCCACUUUGCUGUGUCUCUCUCCUCUCCUGACACCCUGUGACAGCCUUGCCGAGAGCCGAGGUCCCCACAGCUGACCGGGAGAGCCCCAGGAGGCAGGUCCAGUUCCCCCCUGUUGUAGACACGCGGGAGCCGAGGCCACACAGCCAGGAGGAAGGAAACUGACACCACACCAAGUGACCAGAGAUGCUGGGAAUCCCCUAAUUCCUCUCCUUUACUGAGAUAACAGACA